UGGGGAAUUUUGGACAAUGGGCGAAAGCCUGAUCCAGCCAUGCCGCGUGAGUGAAGAAGGCCUUCGGGUUGUAAAGCUCUUUUAGUCGGAAAGAAAGAGUUGCAAUGAAUAAUUGUGAUUUAUGACGGUACCGACAGAAAAAGCACCGGCUAACUACGUGCCAGCAGCCGCGGUAAUACGUAGGGUGCGAGCGUUAAUCGGAAUUACUGGGCGUAAGGGGUGCGCAGGCGGUCUUGCAAGUCAGAUGUGAAAGCCCCGGGCUUAACCUGGGAAUUGCGUUUGAAACUACAAGGCUAGAGUGCAGCAGAGGGGAGUGGAAUUCCAUGUGUAGCAGUGAAAUGCGUAGAGAUGUGGAAGAACACCGAUGGCGAAGGCAGCUCCCUGGGUUGACACUGACGCUCAUGCACGAAAGCGUGGGGAGCAAACA
Molecule: ribosomal RNA, 427 nt
Filed under: uncultured bacterium
Lineage: Bacteria
Description: bacterial SSU rRNA
Rfam family: Bacterial small subunit ribosomal RNA
Source: RNAcentral